RNAcentral lists this non-coding RNA (103 nucleotides) under marine eukaryotic metagenome. The record is from RNAcentral.
AUAGUAGGUCUAUCCGUGUCGUUGUAUAGGCGAUGGCACUAAACCACCUAAAGGUGCUGUGGUAUUGAGCGUUUAGGAGAAUCCUGUCCAAGAGACAGGCAGG